GAUCCUGGCUUAGGAUAAACGCCGGCGGCGUGCCUAAUACAUGCAAGUCGAACGGGAGUAGCAAUACUCUAGUGGCGUACGGGUGAGUAACACGUUGGUAACCUACCCCAAGGACCGGAAUACCAAGGAGAAAUCUUUGCUAAUGCCGGAUGAAACCAUAGAAGCGCAAGCUUCAUUGAUCAAAGGCGGCAAUUGCCGCGCCAUGGGAUGGACCUGCGUCGCAUUAGCUAGUUGGCGGGAUAAUGGCCCACCAAGGCCGGGAUGCGUAGCCGAGCUGAGAGGCUGAUCGGCCACAUUGGGACUGAGACACGGCCCAGACUCCUACGGGAGGCAGCAGUAGGGAGUAUUUGGCAAUGGGGGAAACCCUGACCGAGCAACGCCGCGUGUGUGAAUGAAGGCCUUCGGGUCGUAAAACACUGUGAUUGACUGGGAAACUCAGGAGGAGUGGAAAGCCUUCUGACUGACCGGUCUAUUAGAAAGCAACUGCUAACUACGUGCCAGCCGCCGC
Molecule: ribosomal RNA, 508 nt
Filed under: uncultured bacterium
Lineage: Bacteria
Description: bacterial SSU rRNA
Rfam family: Bacterial small subunit ribosomal RNA
Source: RNAcentral